Molecule: ribosomal RNA, 773 nt
Filed under: uncultured bacterium
Lineage: Bacteria
Description: bacterial SSU rRNA
Rfam family: Bacterial small subunit ribosomal RNA
Source: RNAcentral
AGAGUUUGAUCAUGGCUCAGGACGAACGCUGGCGGCGUGCUUAACACAUGCAAGUCGAACGGAAAGGCCCUUCGGGAUACUCGAGUGGCGAACGGGUGAGUAACACGUGGGUGAUCUGCCCUGCACUCUGGGAUAAGCCUGGGAAACUGGGUCUAAUACCGGAUAGGACCGCAUGCUUCAUGGUGUGUGGUGCAAAGCUUUUGCGGUGUGGGAUGAGCCCGCGGCCUAUCAGCUUGUUGGUGGGGUAAUGGCCUACCAAGGCGACGACGGGUAGCCGGCCUGAGAGGGUGACCGGCCACACUGGGACUGAGAUACGGCCCAGACUCCUACGGGAGGCAGCAGUGGGGAAUAUUGCACAAUGGGCGCAAGCCUGAUGCAGCGACGCCGCGUGAGGGAUGACGGCCUUCGGGUUGUAAACCUCUUUCAGUAGGGACCAAGCGAAAGUGACGGUACCUACAGAAGAAGGAUCGGCCAACUACGUGCCAGCAGCCGCGGUAAUACGUAGGGUCCGAGCGUUGUCCGGAAUUACUGGGCGUAAAGAGCUCGUAGGUGGUUUGUCGCGUUGUUCGUGAAAACUCACAGCUUAACUGUGGGCGUGCGGGCGAUACGGGCUGACUAGAGUACUGCAGGGGAGACUGGAAUUCCUGGUGUAGCGGUGGAAUGCGCAGAUAUCAGGAGGAACACCGGUGGCGAAGGCGGGUCUCUGGGCAGUAACUGACGCUGAGGAGCGAAAGCGUGGGUAGCGAACAGGAUUAGAUACCCCGGUAGUCCAA